Molecule: long non-coding RNA, 855 nt
Organism: Neodiprion fabricii
Lineage: Eukaryota; Metazoa; Arthropoda; Insecta; Hymenoptera; Diprionidae
Exons: 3
Source: RefSeq, a predicted model, not a curated record
CAAUCCCCGAGACAUCGUGUCCGCGUUUGUUGUUCAGUGCUUCGGUCUCACGGGAAGUAACAGUCAGCACAUUUUGUUAAAUACACCGAAGGUGAAACACGGCUCGUUCGUUCAUUCUCCAUUAUGGAUAUACGUACCGAUAUACCUACGUCAAGACUCUUGCAAAUAAUUCCGCCUGUCCGUUGGCAACCGUAUCAGCCUUCUCUUAUCGAUAUUUGUCUUGGGGCCCAUGAAGCUGGUCUCCAUGAUUUGGUUCAGAAUUUUCGAAAGAAAGAAACUACGUGGUCAAUGAAAUGUUAUCACCACUGACGGAGAAUUGGAUAUUUUAAUAAUUUAUCAAAGUGUAAGUGCGAGGCUUCCAAAUGCAGACUUCGUUUCCAGGAAUAACCGAUUGAGUCCUACAUGCGCAAGUCUCCGUGUGUAAACAAGUCCAGACAGAAUACACGAUCGAUGAAUAACGGUAAGAUGUGUCACGAUUGAAACGGCUUCGUCAACUCAACAAUAAGUUUACGAUCAGUGGAUAUGACUCUUGGCUCUGCAUAUGACGUCUUCCGAGUUCUGACCGAUAACCGGAAAGCAAUUGUUUCAAUAAAAAUUGAAUCGAACUUCGGUGGCGAGUCGAGCGGUCUUUUAAGGAUAAGCAUAGAUCUAAUUAGCCUAUUAUUCAUCGCUCCAGAUCCGAGAAUCGACAAAAUGUGAAAUAAAAUUUAUGAAUGUCAAAUGUUACGUGAACAGCGCUAAUUGAUCGAACAUUUUUACUGGAUUACCCCUUUUGCGAGUAGUAAAAUUUAUCUACAUUACUUUUUUCAUCGUCAAAGAUUCGUGGUGAGAACAUCUGUAAUGAUUUCUAUAAAC